Molecule: ribosomal RNA, 514 nt
Filed under: uncultured bacterium
Lineage: Bacteria
Description: bacterial SSU rRNA
Rfam family: Bacterial small subunit ribosomal RNA
Source: RNAcentral
CUACGUGCCAGCAGCCGCGGUAAUACGGAAGGUCCAGGCGUUAUCCGGAUUUAUUGGGUUUAAAGGGAGCGUAGGCCGCAGGUUAAGUGUGUUGUGAAAAGCAGUCGCCCAACGUCUGCCUUGCAGCGCAAACUGUCCUGCUUGAGUGCGCACAACGCAGGCGGAAUUCGUCGUGUAGCGGUGAAAUGCUUAGAUAUGACGAAGAACUCCGAUUGCGAAGGCAGCUUGCGGGAGCGCAACUGACGCUGAAGCUCGAAAGUGCGGGUAUCGAACAGGAUUAGAUACCCUGGUAGUCCGCACAGUAAACGAUGGAUGCCCGUUGUUAGUUCACUUAUGAAUUAGCGACCAAGCGAAAGCAUUAAGCAUCCCACCUGGGGAGUACGCCGGCAACGGUGAAACUCAAAGGAAUUGACGGGGGCCCGCACAAGCGGAGGAACAUGUGGUUUAAUUCGAUGAUACGCGAGGAACCUUACCCGGGCUUGAAUUGCAGACGAACGAUUCAGAGAUGAUGAGG